GAAGGUGAUUCCCUCUCAGGAAAGUGACAACUUGGAGUAAAAUCUGGCAAGCCCAGAAUCUCCAGGAGAGAGGGGGUGCUUUUCCUUUUUCCUUCCUUUGGCUGCCUAUAUGC
Molecule: small nucleolar RNA, 113 nt
Filed under: Dasypus novemcinctus (nine-banded armadillo)
Lineage: Eukaryota; Metazoa; Chordata; Mammalia; Cingulata; Dasypodidae
Description: Small nucleolar RNA SNORA67 (ENSDNOG00000025973.2)
Rfam family: Small nucleolar RNA SNORA67
About the family: U67 belongs to the H/ACA class of snoRNAs which are thought to guide the sites of modification of uridines to pseudouridines.
Source: RNAcentral